Molecule: transfer RNA, 91 nt
Filed under: Thermodesulfovibrionia bacterium
Lineage: Bacteria; Pseudomonadati; Nitrospirota; Thermodesulfovibrionia
Description: tRNA-Val
Source: RNAcentral
AGGCGGAAGCACUUUAAGGAAAACUGAAAUGUGACUCCGUGUAGCCCUUACAAGGCUGAGGUCACAGGUUCAAUCCCUGUUCCGCCUACCA